RNA transcript from Hyla sarda, 3078 nucleotides. It is a transcript of the gene named RNA binding motif protein 48, with no coding region annotated. The transcript has 6 exons. NCBI's taxonomy places the organism in Eukaryota, Metazoa, Chordata, Amphibia, Anura, Hylidae. The record is from RefSeq and is a predicted model, not a curated record.
AGUAUGGCUUGGGUGGAAAGAAAACAUUGUCCUAUUCUGGUACAUAAAAGAACCGUACACCCCUGAAACAUUCUGAAUAGUAGUUCCUUCCACCCAAUCACGUUUGUAGUUAUACGUCCGGGUCAUGUGAUAACGCUGACGUCUGAUUUCUAGAGCGUUUAUUUAUAGAGAACAGAUGUCGCCCCCUAUACACCACGUCUAAUCGGUGGCGGCCAUCUUUGUGAAGACCAAACGCUUUGUGGAAAUAAGCAAUUGGCGUCAGUAGAAUGGAUCCGCGAUAAGCGGACACCGCAGUAAUUUUAUCUCGUGUAUAAGGGGUCGGAUUGUUGUGUUUGGUUCCCUAGUAAAGUAUGGCGGAUCCCCGUUCUCAAGUAGAAGUGCAGCCGCACCACGAACAGCGAAAGAUCUGCGCGUCCCGAGCGAAGUACCGAGAUGGACGGAAUCCGAGAGCAGUCAAAGUUUACACCAUUAAUCUGGAGUCUCGGUACUUGCUGGUGCAGGGGGUCCCGGCCAUCGGUGUUAUGAAGGAAUUGGUCGAGCAGUUCGCUCUGUACGGAGCAGUAGAAGAAUACAAUCCUCUGGAUGAAUACCCGGCCGAGCAGUUCACAGAGGUUUAUCUCAUCAAAUACCAGCGCGUACAGAGCGCACGAGUCGCCAAAAGGAAGUUAGACGAACGCAGUUUCUUCGGAGGAAUCCUUCAUGUCUGCUACGCCCCGGAGUUUGAGAGCGUACAAGAGACCAGAGAAAAACUACAAGACAGAAGGCGGUAUGUGGCCCGAGCAACCGCGGAAAAAGAUCGCCAGGGUACAGAGAAAAGAAAAGAUGCCCCUAACAAUUCCAGUUCAGUGUCUGUACCUGUUGAAUCAUACUGUCCGGGCCCCUCCACUUGGGGCCCCACUCCUCAGCCGGAUGAAUUUUUACAUAUGCAGCCAUCAUGUUACCCCGAACCUUAUCAGGAAUACAGAUCCACAUCUCCUUCAGGCUCUUUUUCUAGAAACCCGUCUUCUGGAGACAAUGCACAAGACGUUGUAAGGAGUAACCCCGCCAGGUUUAUGCCAAGGACUACCCAGCUACAAGAGAGGCAGAGGAGACGGGAGGCCAGCCUGGCACAUUCUCUAUCUCUUACUGACUCUCCAGAGGUUGUAGUAGGACCCAAACUACCGGAUCUGCCAAAAUUAGACCUGGAAGACGAUUCUCUAAACACAUCUGCCAAAUUAAUAAGAGGAAAACUAAAUCAGGUUUCUCAAUCCCCCACAAUAACCAAACCAGAGGCCACGAAGACUGAAACCCAAUCUGCACCUCCAGUAAAACAGAGGAGAAGAAUAUGAGGGGGGGGGGAAAAGACGCAUUGAAUAUUUAAAGGGGUAUUCCAGGAAAAAAAAACAUAUUUUUUUUGUUUUUAUAUCAACUGACUUCUUAAUCCUUCCAGUACUUAUGAGCUGCUGAAGUUGAGUUUUUUUUUCUGUCGACAAUAGUGCUCUCUGCUGACACUUCUGCUUGUCUCAGGAACUCAGUUGCAGAGUAGGAGCAAAUCCCCAUAGCAAACCUCUAAUGCUUCGGACAGUUCCUGAGACAAGCAGAGGUGUCAGCAGAGAGCACUGCGGUGAGACAGAAAAGAACAACUCAACUUUAGCAGCUGAUUACAGGAAGGAUUAAUAUUUUUAAAUAGAAUUCAUUUACAAAUCUUUAACUUUCUGGAGCCUAUUGAUAUAUAAUUUUUUUUAUUUUCCUGGAAUACUCCUUUAAGUCUUCAGAUCUGAAGGGGUAUUCCAGCAUUUAACAAAAAAUGUCUCAAUUUUAACAUCAGUGUUGAGGGAUAGCCAAUGUCAUUGUAUAAAUCUACCACAAUCGUGCACCUAAAUUCCUGUAUUGUAUUCUAAUUGUUACACAUCCACACCAUUUAUUUGGUGUAGGAUGCUAUUGUGGCACUUGUAGUCCACUGCAGGAAUCCUCCAUUGUAUGCAUUUUUAUGCUGGGGAUCGCCCCUAGCAACGGACCACAAGGGCAGGAUCUACCGUAUUUUUCGCCCUAUAGGACGCACCGGCGUAUAAGACGCACCCAAUUUAUAGGUGCAAAAUCUAAAAAAAUAAAGAUUUUGAACCCAAUAGUGGUCCGCAGAUUGAAGACCACUGCAUAGGAGGUAAUACUCACGUGUCCCCGCGGCUCCGGACCCGUCACCGCUGCCCUGGAUGUCGCUCCAUCGCUGUCGCCGCGUCCCCGUCGCUCCGGAACGUCUCUGCUGCCGGCCGAGUAUCCUCGCUCUCCAUCGCCACCAUCACGUCGUUACGCACGCCGACGCACGUACGCGAUGACGAGGAAGGAGAGCGCCGGCCAUACAGGGGAUCCCUGAACGGAGAAGACACCGAGGAGGCAGGUAAGGUCCCUCCCGGUGUCCUGUAAGCACUAACCCGGCUGUUCGGGACCGCCGCGGUAAAAUCGCGGCGGUCCCGAACAGCCCGACUGAACAGCCGGGUUAGUGUCACUUUCCCUUCAGACGCGGCGGUCAGCUUUGAUUGCCGCGUCUGAAGGGUUAAUACAGGGCAUCACCGCGAUCGGUGAUGUCCUGUAUUAGCCUCGGGUCCCGGCCGUUGAUGGCCGCAGGGACCGCCGCGAUAGGGGUGUAUUCGCCGUAUAAGACUCACCGACUUUUUCCCCCCCAGUUUUGGGGAAGAAAAAGUGCCUCUUAUACGGCGAAAAAUACGGUACUCCCCCAGUAUAAAUGCACAACUGCAUUUGGGGUUGAGCACCUCCAGCCAUUUGAGACCACAUCUUUGUUGUUGUUUAUGUCUUUAAAGAAGACACAAAAUCUGGGGACUAGAUGGACCCAAGCGGGGACUGGAGGUAACUAUAAUUUGUUUAUGUCUCUAUUUUUAUAAGAUACCGGCCGUUUGAUGGGAAAAAAAAUAAUAGUAAUACCAGAAUGCCACUUUAAUAAUACAUAAGAUAAUAUAUAUAUAUAUAUAUAUUUUUUUUAUUGUUGUAAAUUGGUAAAAAAAAAAAUUUUUUUAAACAGAUGGUUUUGGAAUUUAUUUUGCAUGUGCUACUUCAGGGUUUGGUACUGAUCUACACAGGGAUACA